CGUUGGGGGAAAGUAAUUCCGGCUGUUGCACCAUGGCGUCCAUGGGGACCCUCGCCUUCGAUGAAUAUGGGCGCCCUUUCCUCAUCAUCAAGGAUCAGGACCGCAAGUCCCGUCUUAUGGGACUUGAGGCCCUCAAGUCUCAUAUAAUGGCAGCAAAGGCUGUAGCAAAUACAAUGAGAACAUCACUUGGACCAAAUGGGCUUGAUAAGAUGAUGGUGGAUAAGGAUGGAGAUGUGACUGUAACUAAUGAUGGGGCCACCAUCUUAAGCAUGAUGGAUGUUGAUCAUCAGAUUGCCAAGCUGAUGGUGGAACUGUCCAAGUCUCAGGAUGAUGAAAUUGGAGAUGGAACCACAGGAGUGGUUGGUAAGAAAAGACAAAACAUCCUUUCUCAUUUAAGAGACGUCAUUUAAGACCACAGGGCUAACAUGCCUGCCGAGAUUGUUGUCUCUGAAUCAGAGCAUGAGGAGACAGACAAAUCCAAAUUGAAAACAUGCUACAAAACAAAUGUCCUGGACUUUCAAAACUGACAGUGUUACAAAAGAACAGAAAGAGGGCUG
RNAcentral lists this small RNA (557 nucleotides) under Pan troglodytes (chimpanzee). RNAcentral describes it as "retained intron". The record is from RNAcentral. Lineage: Eukaryota; Metazoa; Chordata; Mammalia; Primates; Hominidae.